CUAGACUUUGCCUUUCCACACCCACAGUGAUACAAGAUAUAGUUAUAAAGAAAUCCUCAAUACACACUGUUUUCUGCUGAUGAUUGUGAAGUACUCUGCAAGCCCCAUACCAUUGUUUCUCCACUGCCAACCAAAUGAAUUAGAAUUUGCUGAAGAGAAGCCUAAAAAUUGGUGUUCCAGAAAUAUUUGCUGAAAGAAUGAAGUAAGGAAUAAAUGGGUAAAUGAGGAAGACCCCUUGGGAUAUGUCUCUCAGCUAUAUGUAUGGUCACAGUGGCAAGCUCUUCAAUGAGUGAGGGAUAAAGCAAAUGUGACACAAAGCAACUGAU
Molecule: long non-coding RNA, 326 nt
Organism: Lutra lutra (Eurasian river otter)
Lineage: Eukaryota; Metazoa; Chordata; Mammalia; Carnivora; Mustelidae
Exons: 3
Source: RefSeq, a predicted model, not a curated record